This 275-nucleotide ribosomal RNA is filed under the name uncultured prokaryote. RNAcentral's name for it is "partial 16S ribosomal RNA". It matches the Rfam family "Bacterial small subunit ribosomal RNA", at positions 524 to 798 of the family's 1533-position model. The record is from RNAcentral.
UACGUAGGUGGCGAGCGUUGUCCGGAAUUACUGGGUGUAAAGGGCGUGUAGGCGGGGAAGCAAGUCAGAUGUGAAAUCCCGGGGCUCAACUCCGGAGUUGCAUCUGAAACUGUUUUUCUUGAGUGCUGGAGAGGAAAGCGGAAUUCCUAGUGUAGCGGUGAAAUGCGUAGAUAUUAGGAGGAACACCAGUGGCGAAGGCGGCUUUCUGGACGGCAACUGACGUUGAGGCUCGAAAGCGUGGGGAGCAAACAGGAUUAGAUACCCUGGUAGUCCCU